This is a long non-coding RNA of Panicum virgatum (switchgrass), 3105 nucleotides long. RefSeq lists it as uncharacterized. The transcript has 9 exons. Lineage: Eukaryota; Viridiplantae; Streptophyta; Magnoliopsida; Poales; Poaceae. The record is from RefSeq and is a predicted model, not a curated record.
AGCUAGCCCAACUCUCAAUCUCUCAGGCAUCCCAUCCCUCAGCCCCCACACGCCGCUUCCAGUGCUGCUGAGUCCUGACCCGACGACCCGCCCCGCUGCCUGCACCGCUGCCCCACGCCGCGGCCGCGCUCUAACAACGGCGACGCGGCACACCAGCCCGCGGCCACCAGCCACCUCUCACCCGGCCGCUGGCGACCCAACGCGUUCAAGCUGUCAGCUCGUAUACUGGGGCUGCUGUGUGCUGAGUGAUUAAUUGAAUAAUUGGUGCAACUCGCCGCCCCCUGAUUGAUGCUUUCUGGAUCCAUCGGCAUCCUGCAUGUCGACUCUCCUCUUCCUUGGUCAUCUUGGCCUCUAUUGUUUCUGAUCUAGGCGAACAUGCAGAUUUUCAUCUUUUGGAUCGAAGUCUGAAAAUUCAGGGCCCAGGAGCACCUUUUCUUUGCAGAAAAACUACAGGUUGCGAACCUUCAGAACCAGAGCACAUGGAUUUAAACAUUAUUAAGACAUUGUUGCUUUCUGAAAGACCAAGUGAUGAGUACAUAGCCGGGGUAGAAGGUUUUCUUAAGUUUGCAUACAGAGGGAAGAACUCCAAUGCGAAGAUUCGUUGCCCAUGUCUCCAGUGUGUUAACAAGAUAUUACAAAAGCAAGAUACAGUUUAUGAUCACUUAGUAUGCAAUGGAAUGCUCCGUGGAUACAUUAUAUGGGGUUGCCAUGGGGAAACAGCAUCAUAUAUCUCUGCUAACAAGGAUUCGGAGUCACAACUUCCAAGUUUAAACAAUAAUAUGCGACAGGUUGUCCAAGAAACUUUUGGAUAUGAAAACAAUGGACAUCACACACAAAUGAUUCAGAUCCUGAAAGUUGUUCUAAAGCUGGACCAGAUGCAGAAACACAAGCUUUCUUUGAUUUGCUUAAAGAUGAUGACCAACCUUUAUGGGAAGGCUGUGAACUAUCAAAACAUUCUUUUCUAGUCCUCCUGUUUAAUGUCAAGUCCAGCAAUAAGUGGAGCAAUAAAUCAUUAAAUGAUUUGCUUCAAAUUUUACAGCUUGCUUUGCCAAAUGGUGCCAACAUACCAAGAACAUUUGCAGAGGCUUGGAAGAUCAUUGGAAAGCUUGGCCUAAGAUAUGAAAAAAUUCUUGUAUGCCCAAAUAAUUGUCAGAUCUAUCGAAAGGACAAGAAAGAUCACGACUUCUGUUCAAAAUGUGAAGCUUCAAGGAGCAAAGGUAUACCAGACAAAACAAACUUAACACAGAAGCAAAGAAGAAAAGCAGUCCCAAAUACGGUGUUGCGAUACUUUCCAAUCAAACCAAGGCUUAAAAGGAUUUUUAUGAACAAAGAAACAGCCCAAUUAACUAGAUGGCAUGAUGAGGUUACCCAGGCAAGGACUUCCAUACAUUUAUGCAACCAGUUUAUGAUGAGCUGAUUGAACUGUUUGACAUUGGUAUGCCUACAUAUGAUGCAUCUCGAGAUGAGGUGUUCCAACUUCGUGCUACAUUGAUGUAUACAAUCAGUGACUAUCCUGGGGCUGGGAUAUUGGCACAGUUCAGCACUAAUAGCCAGCUGGGUUGUAUGUCUUGUGAAGAAGAAACAAGUUCCAUGCGCUUGAAGCAUGGCUACAAACAGUGUUACAUGGGACAUCGGCGGUUUCUACCUGCUGACCAUGAGUUUCGAUAUGAUGCAAAAUCUUUUGAUGGAACUGAAGAGCAUGAUCGAAACCAGUUCCUUGCUCUGGAAUAAAUCUUUUGGAAAAGAUAGAAUCAAUCAAGGAUUUUGACAAUUCAAAAACAUGGAAGGGUGCUGGUGGCCUCUUUUGCUUAUCUUAUUGGAAGUAUAAUUUGCUCCGGCACAAUUUUGACUUUAUGCAUAUAGAAAAGAAUGUCUGUGAAAAUACAUAUGGCACACUUUUAGAGAUGGAGGGCAAAUCAAAGGACAAUCUACAGGCAAGGAAAGACUUGCAAGAAAUGAACAUCCGGCCAGAUCUACAUCCACAAAAAAGGCUAACGAUAAGUAUUACUUACCUCCUGCUUUGUACAAUGUCUAAAGAAGAGAAGCAACAGUUUUGUAAGGUCCUUCAUGAUAUUAAAGUUCCAGAUGGUUAUUCUAGUAACAUCUCCAGAUGUGUAAAUGUUGCUUAAGCGAAAAUUUGAGGCCUAAAAAGUCAUGAUUGCCACAUACUAAUGCAACAACUUCUGCCGGUUGCUUUGCGAGGUCUUCUCCCUGAUGAUGUUACAUCUGUCUUGUUUCAUCUUUGUGGGUAUUUUACAGAGCUAAAUGCGAAGGUUCUCUACAUAGAUGAUCUUGAAAAGUUAGAGGAGCGAAUUAUAAUGACAUUAUGCCGAAUGGAGAUGAUAUUUCCUCCAGGAUUUUUUACUAUGAUGGUGCAUCUAGUUCUUCACUUAGCAACAGAGGCAAAAAUAGGUGGUCCAGUUUGCUAUCGGUCAAUGUAUUUUGUGGAAAGGUACCUUGGUGAGCUGAAAUCAAAUGUGAGGAACAAAGCUCAUCCAGAGGGAUGUAUUGCCGAAUCAGUUUUGGCAAAAGAGGCUAUGGGACUUUGCUCAGGAUUUCUUGAUGGUUUUCAAAGCUUGGUUAACAAGCUCUCAAGGACUGAUGAUAAUGAUGAAACACUUGGAUGUUCUACUGGAGCAGCAUCAACUCUUUUUCCAAAUGCUGGAAGGGCACUUGGAAAGCCACGAAGUUAUGUUAUAAGAGGUCUGGCAAAAGUACAAGCGCAUAGAUAUGUGUUAUUCAAUUGUUCUGAUGUCAAUCCAUACCUUUGAGCUCAUGCUGAAGAGAUCACAACUAAGCAUAUUGGACGUCGAGGGAGCCAUAGAGAAGUUGAGAAAAUACAAAAUGAGAAGUUCCAUCUAUGGUUUAGAAGUCAUAUUAUGCAGAUUGAGAGGACAGAUGGCAUUCACAGUUUGAAAGAUGGCAUCAGAUGGCUAGCUCGUGGCCCAGUUGAAGUAGCAAAAAGGAGAAAAGAUUGGGCAUGAACCUUUCAUUUUUCCUAACCAAGCUGACCAGGUCUUUUAUGUUGAAGACAAACUAAACCCUGGGUGGCCCGUGGUCAUGAAAAUGAAACCAAGAGAUAUAUAUGAUGUUGGUUCUGAUGAA